Molecule: ribosomal RNA, 439 nt
Filed under: uncultured bacterium
Lineage: Bacteria
Description: partial 16S ribosomal RNA
Rfam family: Bacterial small subunit ribosomal RNA
Source: RNAcentral
CUACGGGGGGCUCCAGUGAGGAAUAUUGCACAAUGGGGGAAACCCUGAUGCAGCAACGCCGCGUGGAGGAUGACGCAUUUCGGUGUGUAAACUCCUUUUAUCAGAGAAGAAAAUGACGGUAUCUGAUGAAUAAGCUCCGGCUAACUCCGUGCCAACAGCCGCGGUAAUACGGAGGGAGCAAGCGUUAUUCGGAAUCACUGGGCGUAAAGGACGCGUAGGCGGGUUUUUAAGUCAGGUGUGAAAUCCUAUGGCUCAACCAUAGAACUGCACUUGAAACUGGGGACCUAGAGUAUGGAAGGGGCAGGUGGAAUUAGUGGUGUAGGGGUAAUAUCCGUAGAUAUCACUAGGAAUACCGAAAGCGAAGGCGACCUGCUGGGACAUUACUGACGCUGAGGCGUGAAAGCGUGGGGAGCAAACAGGAUUAGAUACCCCGGUAGUC